GAUGAACGCUGGCGGCGUGCCUAACACAUGCAAGUCGAGCGAUUCUCUUCGGAGAAGAGCGGCGGACGGGUGAGUAACGCGUGGGUAACCUGCCCUGUACACACGGAUAACAUACCGAAAGGUAUGCUAAUACGGGAUAACAUAAGAAAUUCGCAUGUUUUUCUUAUCAAAGCUCCGGCGGUACAGGAUGGACCCGCGUCUGAUUAGCUAGUUGGUGAGGUAGCGGCUCACCAAGGCGACGAUCAGUAGCCGACCUGAGAGGGUGAUCGGCCACAUUGGAACUGAGACACGGUCCAAACUCCUACGGGAGGCAGCAGUGGGGAAUAUUGCACAAUGGGCGAAAGCCUGAUGCAGCAACGCCGCGUGAGCGAUGAAGGCCUUCGGGUCGUAAAGCUCUGUCCUCAAGGAAGAUAAUGACGGUACUUGAGGAGGAAGCCCCGGCUAACUACGUGCCAGCCGCCGCAGUAU
RNAcentral lists this ribosomal RNA (468 nucleotides) under uncultured bacterium. RNAcentral describes it as "partial 16S ribosomal RNA". It matches the Rfam family "Bacterial small subunit ribosomal RNA", at positions 28 to 523 of the family's 1533-position model. The record is from RNAcentral.